CCUACGGGCGGCUGCAGUGGGGAAUAUUGUACAAUGGGCGCAAGCCUGAUGCAGCCAUGCCGCGUGUGUGAAGAAGGCCUUCGGGUUGUAAAGCACUUUCAGCGGGGAGGAAGGCGGUGAGGUUAAUAACCUCAUCGAUUGACGUUACCCGCAGAAGAAGCACCGGCUAACUCCGUGCCAGCAGCCGCGGUAAUACGGAGGGUGCAAGCGUUAAUCGGAAUUACUGGGCGUAAAGCGCACGCAGGCGGUCUGUCAAGUCGGAUGUGAAAUCCCCGGGCUCAACCUGGGAACUGCAUUCGAAACUGGCAGGCUAGAGUCUUGUAGAGGGGGGUAGAAUUCCAGGUGUAGCGGUGAAAUGCGUAGAGAUCUGGAGGAAUACCGGUGGCGAAGGCGGCCCCCUGGACAAAGACUGACGCUCAGGUGCGAAAGCGUGGGGAGCAAACAGGAUUAGAUACCCCGGUAGUC
This 465-nucleotide ribosomal RNA is filed under the name uncultured Klebsiella sp. RNAcentral describes it as "bacterial SSU rRNA". It matches the Rfam family "Bacterial small subunit ribosomal RNA", at positions 338 to 795 of the family's 1533-position model. Lineage: Bacteria; Pseudomonadati; Pseudomonadota; Gammaproteobacteria; Enterobacterales; Enterobacteriaceae. The record is from RNAcentral.